UUGAUGGGAAUUUAACGCAUUCACAGCAUUUUCCUUUUGUGUCUGUCGUUCAGCACAAUGUGUCAUCUCCGGACAUGACCUACACAAUGUUUUCGUUUUAUUUACUGACUUCAAAAUUUCGAAUUCAAUAAAUUCACGACCGACACACG
Molecule: long non-coding RNA, 149 nt
Organism: Bradysia coprophila
Lineage: Eukaryota; Metazoa; Arthropoda; Insecta; Diptera; Sciaridae
Source: RefSeq, a predicted model, not a curated record